RNAcentral lists this ribosomal RNA (464 nucleotides) under uncultured bacterium. Its description in RNAcentral is "partial 16S ribosomal RNA". It matches the Rfam family "Bacterial small subunit ribosomal RNA", at positions 339 to 795 of the family's 1533-position model. The record is from RNAcentral.
CUACGGGCUGCUGCAGUGAGGAAUUUUGCGCAAUGGGGGAAACCCUGACGCAGCAACGCCGCGUGAAUGAAGAAGGCUUUCGGGUCGUAAAGCUCUGUCAGAUAGGAAAAAAGUUCAUAUGUAAAUAGCUUAUGAAUCUGAUGGUACUAUCAGAGGAAGCACCGGCUAACUCCGUGCCAGCAGCCGCGGUAAUACGGAGGGUGCAAGCGUUGUUCGGAAUUACUGGGCGUAAAGGGCGUGUAGGCGGUAUGGUGAGUCAGAUGUGAAAGCCCUGGGCUUAACUCAGGAAGUGCAUUUGAUACUGCCAUCCUUGAGUAUGGGAGAGGAGAGUAGAAUUCCCAGUGUAGAGGUGAAAUUCGUAGAUAUUGGGAGGAAUACCCGUGGCGAAGGCGACUCUCUGGACCAAUACUGACGCUGAGACGCGAAAGCGUGGGGAGCAAACAGGAUUAGAUACCCCCGUAGUC